RNAcentral lists this ribosomal RNA (170 nucleotides) under Scolecenchelys macroptera (slender snake eel). RNAcentral's name for it is "partial 12S rRNA". Lineage: Eukaryota; Metazoa; Chordata; Actinopteri; Anguilliformes; Ophichthidae. The record is from RNAcentral.
AGCCGCGGUUACACGAGGGGCCCAAACCGAUGUUCAACGGCGUAAAGUGUGAUUAGAGAUAAAAUUAAACUAAAGAAGAAUGUCCCCCAAGCUGUUAUACGCAAACGGAAAGACUGAACCACAACAACGAAAGUGACUUUAAAAUUCUUGAACUCACGAACAUUAAGAAA